This 64-nucleotide transfer RNA is filed under the name Zebrias quagga (fringefin zebra sole). RNAcentral describes it as "tRNA-Cys". Lineage: Eukaryota; Metazoa; Chordata; Actinopteri; Pleuronectiformes; Soleidae. The record is from RNAcentral.
AGCCUUAGGGUGUUACACGUGAGAUUGCAAAUCUCGAGAGGCAGGCUAAUCCCUGCUGGGGCUU